CUACGGGGUGCAGCAGCGAGGAAUAUUGCACAAUGGGGGGAACCCUGAUGCAGCAACGCCGCGUGGAGGAUGACGCAUUUCGGUGUGUAAACUCCUUUUAUAUGUCAAGAAAAUGACGGUAGCAUAUGAAUAAGCACCGGCUAACUCCGUGCCAGCAGCCGCGGUAAUACGGAGGGUGCAAGCGUUACUCGGAAUCACUGGGCGUAAAGGACGCGUAGGCGGGUUGGAAAGUCAGGUGUGAAAUCCUACAGCUUAACUGUAGAACUGCACUUGAAACUUCUAAUCUAGAGUAUGGGAGGGGGAGAUGGAAUUAGUGGUGUAGGGGUAAAAUCCGUAGAUAUCACUAGGAAUACCUGAAGCGAAGGCGAUCUCCUGGAACAUUACUGACGCUAAGGCGUGAAAGCGUGGGGAGCAAACAGGAUUAGAUACCCUCGUAGUC
RNAcentral lists this ribosomal RNA (439 nucleotides) under uncultured bacterium. RNAcentral's name for it is "partial 16S ribosomal RNA". It matches the Rfam family "Bacterial small subunit ribosomal RNA", at positions 339 to 795 of the family's 1533-position model. The record is from RNAcentral.